RNAcentral lists this microRNA precursor (149 nucleotides) under Gossypium hirsutum (cotton). RNAcentral describes it as "MIR7502 microRNA precursor family". It matches the Rfam family "MIR7502 microRNA precursor family". The record is from Rfam by way of RNAcentral. Lineage: Eukaryota; Viridiplantae; Streptophyta; Magnoliopsida; Malvales; Malvaceae.
UGUUAAAAAUUUUUUCUAUUAAUUUGUACCAUUAAAAAUUGGCAUGAUUGAUGAAAGAACGAGAUAGUGACAUGUGAUGUGCCACGAGUACCUCAUGUUGUAUACUAGAACCAAUUUUUAACAAAAAAAAAUGGAUGAAAUUUUUAAUA